RNAcentral lists this small RNA (366 nucleotides) under Theobroma cacao (cacao). RNAcentral describes it as "sRNA Tc07v2_g011640". The record is from RNAcentral. Lineage: Eukaryota; Viridiplantae; Streptophyta; Magnoliopsida; Malvales; Malvaceae.
CAAGAGAAAAUUGGUGGAUUUUAAGUAAUCAAGCAAUCAAAGGUAGUGAGUACUCCGAUAUAGGCAAAGAAAUUGUACCCGAGGAUCGAUAGUCGAAGUACUCUAAAAAUUCGACUCCCGAAAUAUGGGCGAGUUUUGUGGACCAGCCUAUUAGAGGGGCACGAAAUCCGAUUAUAUACGUACCUCGGUCAGAGAGGCGCGUAGGGUAUCUCCUGAGGUAUGGUUAGAUUUCACGUCACGCCGAACCACCUCGUGAUGAUGAACUCUGCUAACGCCAACGAACGACUGUCUUUUUCAAACUAAAAAUAUGUUUACGUGUAUACGAAAUUUUUAAGAGCCUUGGCAGACUCGGUUAAAUGCCUCGGC